RNAcentral lists this ribosomal RNA (253 nucleotides) under uncultured bacterium. RNAcentral's name for it is "partial 16S ribosomal RNA". It matches the Rfam family "Bacterial small subunit ribosomal RNA", at positions 524 to 776 of the family's 1533-position model. RNAcentral also lists the same sequence under 1 other name. The record is from RNAcentral.
UACGGAGGGUGCAAGCGUUAUCCGGAUUCACUGGGUUUAAAGGGUGCGUAGGUGGGUCUGUAAGUCAGCGGUGAAAUCUCCGGGCUUAACCCGGAAACUGCCAUUGAUACUAUAGAUCUUGAAUUGUCUGGAGGUAAGCGGAAUAUGUCAUGUAGCGGUGAAAUGCUUAGAUAUGACAUAGAACACCAAUUGCGAAGGCAGCUUACUACGGAUUGAUUGACACUGAGGCACGAAAGCGUGGGGAUCAAACAGG